AGAGUUUGAUCCUGGCUCAGAACGAACGCUGGCGCAGGCUUAACACAUGCAAGUCUAACGGGUGCAGCAAUGCAUCAGUGGCAGACGGGUGAGUAACGCGUGGGAAUCUACCCAUCUCUACGGAACAACUCCGGGAAACUGGAGCUAAUACCGUAUACGUCCUUCGGGAGAAAGAUUUAUCGGAGAUGGAUGAGCCCGCGUUGGAUUAGCUAGUUGGUGGGGUAAUGGCCUACCAAGGCGACGAUCCAUAGCUGGUCUGAGAGGAUGAUCAGCCACAUUGGGACUGAGACACGGCCCAAACUCCUACGGGAGGCAGCAGUGGGGAAUAUUGGACAAUGGGCGAAAGCCUGAUCCAGCCAUGCCGCGUGAGUGAUGAAGGCCCUAGGGUUGUAAAGCUCUUUCAACGGUGAAGAUAAUGACGGUAACCGUAGAAGAAGCCCCGGCUAACUUCGUGCCAGCAGCCGCGGUAAUACGAAGGGGGCUAGCGUUGUUCGGAAUUACUGGGCGUAAAGCGCACGUAGGCGGAUAUUUAAGUCAGGGGUGAAAUCCCAGAGCUCAACUCUGGAACUGCCUUUGAUACUGGGUAUCUCGAGUCCGAGAGAGGUGAGUGGAAUUCCGAGUGUAGAGGUGAAAUUCGUAGAUAUUCGGAGGAAUACCAGUGGCGAAGGCGGCUCACUGGCUCGGUACUGACGCUGAGGUGCGAAAGCGUGGGGAGCAAACAGGAUUAGAUACCCUAGUAGUCC
RNAcentral lists this ribosomal RNA (743 nucleotides) under uncultured bacterium. Its description in RNAcentral is "bacterial SSU rRNA". It matches the Rfam family "Bacterial small subunit ribosomal RNA", at positions 8 to 796 of the family's 1533-position model. The record is from RNAcentral.